RNAcentral lists this ribosomal RNA (613 nucleotides) under uncultured bacterium. RNAcentral describes it as "bacterial SSU rRNA". It matches the Rfam family "Bacterial small subunit ribosomal RNA", at positions 398 to 1017 of the family's 1533-position model. The record is from RNAcentral.
CGCGUGAGCGAUGAAGGCCAUUAGGUUGUAAAGCUCUGUCGAGGGGGAACAAGCCGCAAGGUUGAGUGAUCCCUGGAGGAAGCACGGGCUAAGUUCGUGCCAGCAGCCGCGGUAAGACGAACCGUGCGAACGUUGUUCGGAAUCAUUGGGCUUAAAGGGCGCGUAGGCGGGUUGACAAGUCCGGGGUGAAAGCCUCCAGCUCAACUGGAGAAGAGCCCCGGAUACUGUCAGUCUGGAGAGGGAUAGGGGCACAUGGAACUUCCGGUGGAGCGGUGAAAUGCGUAGAGAUCGGAAGGAACGCCGGUGGCGAAAGCGAUGUGCUGGAUCUUUUCUGACGCUGAGGCGCGAAAGCUAGGGGAGCAAACGGGAUUAGAUACCCCGGUAGUCCUAGCCCUAAACGAUGGGUACUGGGUUGCGGGUCAGACAUAGACUCGCAGCCGGAGCAAAAGUGUUAAGUACCCCGCCUGGGGAGUAUGGUCGCAAGGCUGAAACUCAAAGGAAUUGACGGGGGCUCACACAAGCGGUGGAGCAUGUGGCUUAAUUCGAGGCUACGCGAAGAGACUUAUCCUAGACUUGACAUGGUGGAAGUAGCGAGGCGGAAACGUUUUGCGGG